Molecule: unclassified non-coding RNA, 737 nt
Filed under: Hevea brasiliensis (rubber tree)
Lineage: Eukaryota; Viridiplantae; Streptophyta; Magnoliopsida; Malpighiales; Euphorbiaceae
Source: RNAcentral
AUUCUGAUGGAACACCACGCCGGAAAACGCAGACUCGACGUCCUCACCGCCCACCUCGCUCCCGCCGGCGAUAUUUCCCCCGCAAAUGGCCACGUUCUCCCUGCGAAUUGUUGUAGCUACGAAAGUUCUGUCAUUCGAAGGUGCGAUAAUAAGACGUACUUUGCAAGACAAGGAUCCGAAGCUUGUGGCGCUUAUAUGAGGCAGGCUUCAACUACAGAGGGUAAUCAACGAUCUAAUUCUCAGGCGUUUCGGGAUGUCUCUGAAGGACCAUUGUAUUCAAGACCUGCAAAGGAAGGAAAGAUUCCGAGUGUUGGAAUAGAACAGCCUGUGGCCCAGAAUUUCAAUUUGAUUGCAUCUGAGCCUCCAUUGUUUGCCAGGGCAUGUUUAGGAAUCAAUGAACAAAAUAACCAUUUCAUUUCGGAGACAAAACAGCCAUCCUUUGGAUCAAAUGGAAUUGGUGGAUUGUCUCCGAGGAUGGAUGUGGCAGAAUCAGGCCGAGGUUAUGUGCUGACCGUGGAAAUUCCAGGAGUCAAGAUCAAUGACAUUAGAGUUGAGGUUGAUGACCAAAAGUUGACUAUAAUCGGCAAACGCUCAAAUCAAUACUGUGAAGUGGUAGGAUAUUCAAGUGACUCUAUCUCUUCAUAUCACAAGAGAGAGAUUUUACAAGGACCUUACCAGGUUGUGUGGCCACUUCCAAUCAACAUUAACAAGGACGGAGUAUUUGCUGAGUUCUGGGA